CUUUCCUACGGGGGGCAGCAGUAGGGAAUUUUCGUCAAUGGGCGCAAGCCUGAACGAGCAAUGCCGCGUGAACGAGGAAGGUCUUCGGAUCGUAAAGUUCUGUUGAAGGGGAAAAAGAGCGGAGAGAGGAAAUGGUCUCCGAUUGAUAUUACCCUUCGAGGAAGUCACGGCUAACUACGUGCCAGCAGCCGCGGUAAUGCGUAGGUGGCGAGCGUUAUCCGGAUUCAUUGGGUUUAAAGGGUGCGCAGGCGGGCCUUUAAGCCGGCGG
RNAcentral lists this ribosomal RNA (268 nucleotides) under uncultured bacterium. RNAcentral's name for it is "partial 16S ribosomal RNA". It matches the Rfam family "Bacterial small subunit ribosomal RNA", at positions 334 to 594 of the family's 1533-position model. The record is from RNAcentral.